This 450-nucleotide ribosomal RNA is filed under the name uncultured bacterium. Its description in RNAcentral is "partial 16S ribosomal RNA". It matches the Rfam family "Bacterial small subunit ribosomal RNA", at positions 354 to 796 of the family's 1533-position model. The record is from RNAcentral.
GUGGGGAAUCUUCCGCAAUGGACGAAAGUCUGACGGAGCAACGCCGCGUGAGUGAUGAAGGUCUUCGGAUUGUAAAACUCUGUUGUCAGGGACGAAUGUGCGAAUGUUGAAUAAGCAUUUGUAUUGACGGUACCUGACGAGGAAGCCACGGCUAACUACGUGCCAGCAGCCGCGGUAAUACGUAGGUGGCAAGCGUUGUCCGGAAUUAUUGGGCGUAAAGAGCAUGUAGGCGGGCUUUUAAGUCCGACGUGAAAAUGCGGGGCUUAACCCCGUAUGGCGUUGGAUACUGGAAGUCUUGAGUGCAGGAGAGGAAAGGGGAAUUCCCAGUGUAGCGGUGAAAUGCGUAGAUAUUGGGAGGAACACCAGUGGCGAAGGCGCCUUUCUGGACUGUGUCUGACGCUGAGAUGCGAAAGCCAGGGUAGCAAACGGGAUUAGAAACCCGGGUAGUCC